UGCUGCUUCAUUGAAAAAAGGUGAAAUUAAAUUAAGAUGUCUGGUGUGUUAAAUUUUGUGAGGUAGGAUAUUUCUGGUGUUCCUCCAAAUUUGUACACCAGUUAAUACUUCUGAUUGAUUUUUUCUGUGUGUUUUAUCUCAUUGACAAAAAUACACAAAAAGACAGAAAUAAUAAAUACCGUAUACCUAUACAUCUUUGUAAGAACUCUGAAAUGGAUAUGAAUAAGAGAGAUUAGUAAUUUAUCACUUCCAUCAAAGAAAUGGACAUACAGAAAUCUAUAUGCCACUUUUCUUCAUCUGUUACAACAUAGCCAUACUCUGGG
RNAcentral lists this long non-coding RNA (323 nucleotides) under Mytilus galloprovincialis (Mediterranean mussel). Lineage: Eukaryota; Metazoa; Mollusca; Bivalvia; Mytilida; Mytilidae. The record is from RNAcentral.